GACAGAGGCCCCGAGCGUUAGCCGGAAUCACUGGGCUUAAAGCGUGUGUAGGCGGUUCGUUAAGUACCUUGUGAAAUCCCACGGCUCAACCGUGGAACGGCUGGGUAUACUGGCGGUCUUGGGCCAUUCAGGGGCGACUGGAACAAGCGGUGGAGCGGUGAAAUGCGUAGAUAUCGCUUGGAACGCCGAAGGUGAAAACAGGUCGCUGGGGAUGUGCCGACGCUGAGACACGAAAGCCAGGGGAGCAAACGGG
This 253-nucleotide ribosomal RNA is filed under the name uncultured bacterium. Its description in RNAcentral is "partial 16S ribosomal RNA". It matches the Rfam family "Bacterial small subunit ribosomal RNA", at positions 524 to 776 of the family's 1533-position model. The record is from RNAcentral.